GUGAAUAUCAGUUAGAAAUCUAGUUGUUCAUUGCAAAACUAAACCAGUUUAUAGCAGAAAUAAGCACUUGGAGGGAAAUGUUACAUUUUCACUGCAGGCCUUGAAUCCUUAGCCACCAGCUCCGUGUCCUUCAGUGUUCUGUGGUUCCUGGUUCCAGAGAGAUCACCUGCUCCAAUGUAACGAGUGAAGAGUUCUUUAGGUGAUGGCUGCUGGGCCCAGCUUUGCUGUUGUCUUUGCUGUCUUGUAAGCUUUGUGUCGCUCAAGUUCAGUUGUGUAUGAGUGUACUAACCACUGUGAGCUUCUCCAAGCAUGUGCAAGCAAUUUGAGAGGAGCCUAAUAUUUGCAAGGAAUUUGAGAGGAGCCUUUUAAGGAUGUUUUAUUGGCGGGGGUCAGGUGAGGGAGAUAACACGGGGGCAAGAAGGAAAGUUAUUAAUUCAUGGGAAACUACCAGCCCUUCAUCACCUAACUUGUGAUUUACAGACACUGAGCACAUUGCAGGUUGAGAAGGUGCUUGGUCCUUUUUGUAGCCUUAUGCUGUGCUCUUCAGAGACGUGAGUGUGCUGCUUUUUCUCACCAUUUUGUUUCUUGUAGAUUGUUUUCCUUGAUGCUGGAAAACAUUUUGAAGACAAGACUCUAAACAGUGACCUAUGCCACACUAGUUUAUUGGAAAAUGAGAAACUUACAUUACUGACAAGCUUGGAAGAUUCUUCAGUCCUGCAGUGACCUGAUGAUAUUGAUGAUGAAAUGUCUUACGAUGAUCAUUUAGAGGUUUAUUUCGAACAACUGGCAAUUCCAGGAAUGAUGGAAUAAAGCAUACGAAGUAGAAGGACUGGAACCUCCAGAAAAAGUACUUUAAGUUACCUACAGGUGAUCCUAGUCAGAUCAACCAGUGGCUAGCAUUUGCCACCUUUUGCAGUUUCUUUCUCUUUCCAUAAGUACUUUCUUCUCUGAAUCAUUUGAAAGCAAAUGAAAACAGUAGCCUAAAGUGUCAGUUUCAACCCGAAAAUAACAGCUCUGAUUUCUCAUGGCUCACACUCGUCUGAAAUGACUCGGGUAGAGGCUGAGGAAGGCUGUGUUGUUUGUCUACCUGGGACUACACCUACUGAAAGAAGUUCUCAAGUUCUGAUUGAGUUCUAAAAUUCUUUUGAAGAUUGGAAUUCUUCAUAUGUAAAAAGAGAAGAGAAAGACAUUCUUGAUUUUGGUGACUAGAGUUGUAGAUGCUGGAAGCUUUGCCACUAACAUUGAUGAACCAGAUGCAUGUCACCAGCCCAUCACGGUGAUUCUUAAUGCCGGCACCAUGGGCCGGCACUGCCACGUUUUCCAAGGAACCUGCCAGAGCUCCUGCGGAAGCUGCUCCUCGGGCGAUGGAGUCCCUUUGCUGCUAGGCCCUUCUUCAGUCACCACAGGAUGCCUGCCAUUCAUGAACAGGAAGGAGAGGACGGGCUUUGAAUAAAAAACAGGAUCCAGGAAAUAUUUGUGAGGCCAUUUGGACUUCAGUGUGAAAUGGUGUUAAAAGAUGAAGUCAUUUAUUCAAGAAGUAAACCUCUGCCACCUGGACUGUGCUCAGACAUUUCAUUGAUUUUGUUUAAUAAACAUUUUCUGGCUUUGG
RNAcentral lists this long non-coding RNA (1609 nucleotides) under Homo sapiens (human). RNAcentral's name for it is "HSALNT0331298". Lineage: Eukaryota; Metazoa; Chordata; Mammalia; Primates; Hominidae. The record is from RNAcentral.